RNAcentral lists this ribosomal RNA (253 nucleotides) under uncultured bacterium. Its description in RNAcentral is "partial 16S ribosomal RNA". It matches the Rfam family "Bacterial small subunit ribosomal RNA", at positions 524 to 776 of the family's 1533-position model. The record is from RNAcentral.
GACGUAGGGCGCGAGCGUUGUCCGGAUUUAUUGGGCGUAAAGAGCUCGUAGGCGGCUUGUUGCGUCGGCUGUGAAAACCCGCGGCUUAACCGUGGGCUUGCAGCCGAUACGGGCAGGCUAGAGUUCGGUAGGGGAGACUGGAAUUCCUGGUGUAGCGGUGAAAUGCGCAGAUAUCAGGAGGAACACCGGUGGCGAAGGCGGAUCUCUGGGCCGAUACUGACGCUGAGGAGCGAAAGCGUGGGGAGCGAACAGG